AUCGCUUCUCGGCCUUUUGGCUAAGAUCAAGUGUAGUAUCUGUUCUUAUCAGUCAAUGUGAGGAGUGUGAAGUCGAGAGUUAGAGCCCAGAUUGUUUUAUCCUUUCUUAACUCUUUUAAGUCUGAUGUGUUUUUAAUACAGGAAUGCGGCCUACCAUUUUUAAAACACUACAGAGAAUGGGAGGAGUUAUG
Micropterus salmoides (largemouth bass) is the source of this 191-nucleotide small nuclear RNA. RefSeq annotates it as U2 spliceosomal RNA. Lineage: Eukaryota; Metazoa; Chordata; Actinopteri; Centrarchiformes; Centrarchidae. The record is from RefSeq and is a predicted model, not a curated record. The transcript has a single exon.